AGAGUUUGAUCCUGGCUCAGAUUGAACGCUGGCGGAAUGCUUUACACAUGCAAGUCGAACGAUGAACCUUAGCUUGCUAAGGGGAUUAGUGGCGAACGGGUGAGUAAUAUAUCGGAACGUGCCUUGUAAUGGGGGAUAACUAGUCGAAAGAUUAGCUAAUACCGCAUACGCCCUGAGGGGGAAAGUAGGGGAUCUUCGGACCUUACGUUAUAAGAGCGGCCGAUAUCUGAUUAGCUAGUUGGUGGGGUAAUGGCCUACCAAGGCGACGAUCAGUAGCUGGUCUGAGAGGACGACCAGCCACACUGGAACUGAGACACGGUCCAGACUCCUACGGGAGGCAGCAGUGGGGAAUUUUGGACAAUGGGCGCAAGCCUGAUCCAGCCAUUCCGCGUGAGUGAAGAAGGCCUUCGGGUUGUAAAGCUCUUUCGCAAGGGAAGAAAACUUACUUUCUAAUAAAGAGUGAGGCUGACGGUACCUUGAUAAGAAGCACCGGCUAACUACGUGCCAGCAGCCGCGGUAAUACGUAGGGUGCGAGCGUUAAUCGGAAUUACUGGGCGUAAAGCGUGCGCAGGCGGUUUGGCAAGUCAGAUGUGAAAUCCCCGAGCUCAACUUGGGAACUGCGUUUGAAACUGCCAGACUAGAAUAUGUCAGAGGGGGGUAGAAUUCCACGUGUAGCAGUGAAAUGCGUAGAGAUGUGGAGGAAUACCAAUGGCGAAGGCAGCCCCCUGGGAUAAUAUUGACGCUCAUGCACGAAAGCGUGGGGAGCAAACAGGAUUAGAUACCCUGGUAGUCCACGCCCUAAAC
This 804-nucleotide ribosomal RNA is filed under the name uncultured bacterium. RNAcentral describes it as "bacterial SSU rRNA". It matches the Rfam family "Bacterial small subunit ribosomal RNA", at positions 8 to 807 of the family's 1533-position model. The record is from RNAcentral.